This 555-nucleotide long non-coding RNA is filed under the name Salvia miltiorrhiza (redroot sage). RNAcentral describes it as "long non-coding RNA (SMIL_LNC000137)". The record is from RNAcentral. Lineage: Eukaryota; Viridiplantae; Streptophyta; Magnoliopsida; Lamiales; Lamiaceae.
CUGAUUUGUUCUUAUCCAAACCUCAAGAGAUAAGGUUUUGGAUAUCUUUCCUUAUCUACAUCCUCUGCACUCUUCUUCUCUGCCCCGUCUGUACCUUCUGCCCAGCUGAUUCCGCUGCUCGGAUGAUUCCUCUGGCAAAGCCGACUUCGCUGCUCUGGCACUUUGAUUCCGCUGGCAGCUUGAUUUCUCUGGCAAAGCCGACUUCGCUGCUCUGGCAUUUCUGUACCUUCUGCCCAGCUGAUUCCGCUGCUCGGAUGAUUUCUCUGGCAAAGCCGACUUCGCUGCUCUGGCACUUUGAUUCCGCUGGCAGCUUGAUUUCUCUGGCAGCUUCGCUGCUCUGCAUUUCGUACCUUCUGCCCACGAUCAUCUUCUGAUGCAACUGGGUCCCGCGCGGUACUUAUGGGCAAAAGGUCGGUUUGCCCAAGAUCCUGCUUCUCGGACUUUUGAUCUUCAAAACAAGCUUUUGAGUGUCCCAAACUCCUCUACUUCAAACUCAUGCCUCAUUCGCGGAAUGCAGCAGCAUUAUGCCUUGAAAGCACCUUCUGCCCAAAGAAC